RNAcentral lists this ribosomal RNA (263 nucleotides) under uncultured bacterium. RNAcentral's name for it is "partial 16S ribosomal RNA". It matches the Rfam family "Bacterial small subunit ribosomal RNA", at positions 524 to 786 of the family's 1533-position model. The record is from RNAcentral.
CACGUAGGGGGCGAGCGUUGUCCGGAAUUACUGGGCGUAAAGGGCGUGUAGGCGGCUGGCCAAGUCAGGCGUGAAAUUUUAAGGCUCAACCUUAAGACUGCGUCUGAAACUGGUUAGCUUGAGGGCAGGAGAGGAGAGCGGAAUUCCCAGUGUAGCGGUGAAAUGCGUAGAUAUUGGGAGGAACACCAGUGGCGAAGGCGGCUCUCUGGACUGCACCUGACGCUGAGGCGCGAAAGCGUGGGGAGCAAACAGGAUUAGAUACC